Molecule: long non-coding RNA, 477 nt
Organism: Callithrix jacchus (white-tufted-ear marmoset)
Lineage: Eukaryota; Metazoa; Chordata; Mammalia; Primates; Cebidae
Source: RefSeq, a predicted model, not a curated record
AUGCUCACAGCAGGGCCUUUCUCUCCGGACCUUCUCUCUUUUCAUGGGCCGCUAGGAUUGCAGAUGCAAAGGUCUUUUCCUUUCUCUUCUCCAAACCCCACUUAGGAGGAAAUCCCCAGAAACAUCCCAGCAGGGCAGCAUCAAAUUCAAUGCAGUGUCUCACGAUGGCUGCACUCUCCCUCUUCCAAGCACAAAGAUUCUCUCCAUGCCACACAGCCCUGGCCAGGGGAUGGGAAUGGGUGGCAUCAGCAACUCAAGACUGUCUUCCCUACCCUCUUCAUUGCCUCUUUCAACGGUAUGAAGUUAAAACCAGAUCGAUAGCUAGAUCCCCCCCUCUCUACUAUGGGAGGAUACAAUAAAACAGCUCUUUGCAAAAGCAAGAAGAGGAUCCUCCCCAGAUACUGAAUCUUCCGGCACCUUGAUCUUGGACAUCUCGCCUCCAAAAUCAUGGUAAAUAAAAUUCUGUUCUUUCAGCCA